CUUUGAUUGAUUGCAAAAGAAAAAUAAGACAAUUGAAUAUUCUGUCUUUUUUCUAGAUCAAACAUCAAACUGCCAAAGACAGAAAAUUAUUUACUGAUGUAUAUUAUUUGACAAACUAUUAAAAGGAAUGACCCCACUAUUUAUGCAGUUUUAAGCAGAGAAGGAGAGUCUCCAGGAACUGUACGAAUUAAUCAACUUGAGCAAUCAGCCUGUUUUACAGCCUCCUGCCUUGUAGACUACUUUUUCCAAAACUCUAUGUGGGAUGUGGUCACCUAGUUGGUUGGAACCAGCUCCUGACAGACCCCAGCAACUGACAGAUGAACCUGAGUGAACUUUCCUCAUUAUCAUGCUAAAGUCUCCAUCCCGAGAGGAACUAUAGCUUCAUUACCAGAACAUGCAACCUUUGUGCUGGCAUAAAGGCUCACUGCGUCUAAAGCAACUGGGACCCGUCCCGUACAUGUGAUGAUGCACACUCUCCUCUCUCCAUAGCGCCAUAAACUCUCUCAGGGAGACACUGCUUUGAGGAAUGCUUCCUUACUUGUGCUAAGUAAUAAAACUAUUGAUUAAAAUCUGCAUUCUUGUGGAUUCGUUUGUUACUGGACAAGUGAGUGAAUUCAUUUUUUUUCAGGUUACUCAGUCAUCAAAAUAAACUUUGUGGAUAUGAUUGUACAUUACUUAUUCUUUUAUUCUCAUACCUCCAUUUAUAUUCAUGUUCUGUUAAUUCUACAUUCCUAAAGAAUUAAACUUUCUCUUCCAAAAGAUCUAUUAUGGCCUUUAUACAAUGUCUUUA
Molecule: long non-coding RNA, 790 nt
Filed under: Pan troglodytes (chimpanzee)
Lineage: Eukaryota; Metazoa; Chordata; Mammalia; Primates; Hominidae
Description: long non-coding RNA NONPTRT001770
Source: RNAcentral